ACAAUAAUAUCGUCAGUCCAACGAGCAAUUUCUCCCGCUCGGUGGAAGAUCUUCUGUUUGUCGU
Molecule: microRNA precursor, 64 nt
Filed under: Bombyx mori (domestic silkworm)
Lineage: Eukaryota; Metazoa; Arthropoda; Insecta; Lepidoptera; Bombycidae
Description: mir-2774 microRNA precursor family
Rfam family: mir-2774 microRNA precursor family
Source: Rfam by way of RNAcentral